This 253-nucleotide ribosomal RNA is filed under the name uncultured bacterium. RNAcentral describes it as "partial 16S ribosomal RNA". It matches the Rfam family "Bacterial small subunit ribosomal RNA", at positions 524 to 776 of the family's 1533-position model. The record is from RNAcentral.
UACGAAGGGGGCUAGCGUUGCUCGGAAUUACUGGGCGUAAAGCGCACGUAGGCGGAUCGAUCAGUCAGGGGUGAAAUCCCAGAGCUCAACUCUGGAACUGCCUUUGAUACUGUCGAUCUGGAGUAUGGAAGAGGUGAGUGGAAUUCCGAGUGUAGAGGUGAAAUUCGUAGAUAUUCGGAGGAACACCAGUGGCGAAGGCGGCUCACUGGUCCAUUACUGACGCUGAGGUGCGAAAGCGUGGGGAGCAAACAGG